This 1785-nucleotide long non-coding RNA is filed under the name Parus major (Great Tit). RNAcentral describes it as "lncRNA (ENSPMJG00000013726.1)". The record is from RNAcentral. Lineage: Eukaryota; Metazoa; Chordata; Aves; Passeriformes; Paridae.
GUAAAAUACCUCUCCUGUUCUUGUUCUCCCAGCCAAUACUCUGGUCUAUUUAUUUGUUAUCUAUUGACUUGACAGCUCCAGCCUCCUCCCAUACAGCUUCUUCACCAUCCUUUGUCCGUUUUUUGCAAGUAUUAAAGUGAAAUAUAUCACUCUUUUCUCCAAAAUUAACAUUAACUUGGUGUCCUCUAAAUUUUUCAUCACCAUCUUAAUCACAUUUAUGUAUAGUCAGAUUCUCCAUAAUAUUAAUUCAUGUAUAUCAUGUAUAUCAUGUAUAUCAAUUCUUUUCUUAAAUAUGCUCUGACUGUUCACCUGUUCUUCAUCUUAUAAAUGUUUUUGAAUCUUUUGUUCCUUUCAGACAAUUUUAUGCUGGUGAUUUUUUCCUUUAGUAUGAAAUAAUUUUCCACUUCCCAUCCACUAAAUAAAGCCUUUCUUCUCUUGCACACCUCUGCUGAAAAAUCAGAAAGACAGAUCUUUUCCUCAUUUGAAGGAUGACAGACUUCCUUGUCUUCUUUUAUCUACAAAUGGACAUCUUGGGUCAAUUUGGGCAAGUUUCUUAGGAUCAGUUCCAAAGAAGAUCACAGGCAAAAAAUUCUCUUAAGACCUGACAGAGAAUGAACCAUUGCAUUGCGAAUUACUUGGGUGUCAGCUUCAGAAACUCCAUCACAUAAUUCUUUGGGGUGGCAAGAUCUACAGUUCUUAAGAAGACAGAAUUAAAAUACUUUGCUGAAGACCAUCCUUUUUCUCUGGUGAGAUAUAUACAUAUUUCCUAAAGUCCUAGUUGGUAGGAUGCUGAAGCUCAAGAGAAAUCCUACUAUUGGAAAGGAGAGCAGAUUUUAUGAGAAGAAAGGCCAAAAAACAUACUGAAGAAUUGACUAUUCAUAGUGGAUUGACAUGGAAGAUUUUCUUUCCUGGAAUGAAGUGUAAUAGAGGGGAAGGUACUGAGAUUCUACAGAUUUCAGCUAAUGUAGUUUCAUUAUCUUACAUUCAUGAAUCUUAUUAGAAAUGGGAAAGAUUUGAGAAAGAGAUGUUUAUCUGCAAAAUGUAUCAAAUUUCCAAGAAGUCUUCUGGGAGUAAAAUGGAUUUUCAUUUUGAGACUGUACAUCCAGGAAGAGAGGAUCAAGAUUCCUGAUUUUAACUCACUAGAGGAAAGAGGUCACGAGCCAAGUGGAAGAAUAAGCCACACAACCACAAUGCUCAUCAGUGUGGAAAUCUGCUUUCAGGUCUCAGCAGCCCAGCCUUCAUUUUAUCUUACCUACCUGAUCAAGAUUCAUGGAGUGCAUAUGGGUUAAUCAGACUGUUUUAAAAAUCACUAGACAGUACAGCAUCUAAAGUCUUCGGUGGAUUCGGUCUUUAAUUUCUCAGUGUUACACUACCUCAGCUGCAAAGCAGAAUAUUGUGUUAUAUUUUUCUGUGUUUGGAUAUAGAGUUUGGAUAUACAUUGUAAAUUUUUUGAGAUUGCUCAUUAGAUGCAUUCACAUGGGGUUCUACUUCUAACUCAGUUAUGUCUCACUUUCUCUUAUUGGAUUUUUUCUCCUGUAUAAACAUUUAAAUAUCAGUUUGGGAUGGAAACCAGGUUUAAAAUCUCAUUUCUCUAGAUCUAAACAUGGUAAAUGUGGAUAUGUUAAUUUAUGUGAUCUUUUUGGACAAGGUAUUGAAUGCAAUCUAUGUUUUAAAAAGACGACUAAAGCUUCCAUGAGAAAAAGAACUCUAAAUGGGUAUACCAGUAAGGCAUAGGCAGCUGUGAAUUUAACUAUAAAGUGAAAUAAAACCUUGUUUGGUUUGUCA